GUUAGGUGUAAUCUACCCUCUAAGAAUCUAGUUUGGCUUGUAAGCGUUGGGCUUGCCUAUGGGCUUGUGGCUUGUGCUAGUUAGCUUGCUUGGCCCAUAAGCUAAGUGUUGUAACUCCUAUAUAAGGAGCUUCCCUUGUUGUGAAUGAAUAGAAUGCACACUUAUGAUCUUAACAAGUGGUAUCAGAGGCCUGAAAGAUCCUUUCUCAUAACAAACUCGGUUUGUUAGUUGUGUGCAUAAGAAAAGU
Molecule: long non-coding RNA, 247 nt
Filed under: Trifolium pratense (red clover)
Lineage: Eukaryota; Viridiplantae; Streptophyta; Magnoliopsida; Fabales; Fabaceae
Description: long non-coding RNA (TPRA_LNC008963)
Source: RNAcentral